UUCUCUUUCUUUCUCUUUCUUCUAUUCUCUGCUCUGCUCUUUUCUAUUCUUCAGUCGAGCGCUGGUUUGAGAAACAAAUCGGAGAUUAGGAGGUCGUAUAAAGAGCACAUGGGUUGUACAGAUUGUUGAUAGUGUUGAAGUUAAUUCGAGUUCAGGAUGAAGAAGAUAGAGUUGCUACUGUUAACCGGAGUUAGGGUUUUAAAUUUGAGAUGAAGAAAUCAAGAGUAAUGAAUGAAUCAGUCGAGAACCUUGAUGUUUAUUGAUGGUGUUGUUGAUGCAAAAGGUUAAUUCAACUCAUAUAAGGUAAAUCAGAAUUCAGAAAUUAGGGUUUGUUAUAAGUUUGUUUAGAAGUUCGAUUAGAAAGAUGAAUAAAUGAAUAAGAUGAAAUUAGAGAGGGGUUUUAUCCGAAUUAGAGUUUGAGAUUGAAGAUUAGCUUGAAAUUGACAGUUAAGGUUUGGGUCGGUUUUAAGGAAGAUUUGGGAUUUGAAUUGAGAGUAGUUAAGAACUGUUGGUGAUGAUGAAGACUGUGGGUUUAGUUAAUUUAGGUUUUCUAUGGAGGUGGCUGGUGAAACAACAAUUAAGAGGAUGCUGGUAUUUGGGUAAGUUCUGAGUUGUUGAAAUUUGAAUAUUUGUUUUGAACUGAUUGUAUAGUUGAGUUAUGGAAUUGGUGUUAUUGUUGAGCAUGCUAAAUCUAGGGGAAAAGAGAUUGUGUCGUGGAAUGCAGGGAAAGGAUUGUUUAUACUGAAGUUGAAUUGGAUCUUACGGAGUUUUAGUUUCAGUUUUAUUGUGAAAUUGAGAAGUUGGACUUUUAAGUGAAUUACAGGGGGUGUUGUUGAUUGAAGUUGAUUAAGAAGUAUUGGAUAGAAGUUGAAUUGAAUGUUAAUGUGGAUAUGCAGUGACAGUAUUGCUCCAGGAAGUGAUAACGUUGUUUUGCAGAUGUAGAUAAGUGAGUUGGUGAUUAGGAGUGAAGAUCACAGGUGGUUGUAGUGAUGCUGAAAUGAGAAUUGCAGUUUAUAGAUGAACUGAGUUGAGAUGAAUUUUGGAGAAUGAAGCUAAUAAGAUAGUGAUGCUGAGAGUUGCAGUUGAUGCUAAUUGAGCUGUUGGUGGAGACAAUGAAGAGCUGGCAGAGAUGUUAAUGUUUUAGAGAAGUGUUUAGAGGUUGAAUAUAAUUAGGAUUUGAAAUGUGUAUGGGUUGAAGAUUACAGUUGGGGGUAGUGCUGAGUUGAGAAUGAAGUUGCAGGUGUUAUGAGUGAUUAUCUUAAAAGUGUAGGAGCUGCAGUUGUGUUAGUGAUUGAGCUAGGUUGAUAUGUAGUGGUAGAUGUAGAGUUAUUGAUGGUCUUGGUGAAGGCUUACAUCCUCUACCUAAAGUUAGUUAUUAACAACGAUCGAUUCAAGGACGAACCGUAGAUCGUGGAUCUCGAGGUAGGCGUGCCUUGUCAUCAAAAGAGUUUCAGAGACAGAUCAGAGUUGCGCAGCGAAAUCUCCGAGAAGUUGACUUCGUUAGUUGGUUGUAUUCUGAUAUGUUUAUUAUGUUGUAUAUUCUAUUUUGUAAACCAAAUGAAGAUUAUAUAUGUAUCAUUUGAGAGAAGUUCUUGUA
This is a long non-coding RNA of Papaver somniferum (opium poppy), 1597 nucleotides long. RefSeq lists it as uncharacterized. The record is from RefSeq and is a predicted model, not a curated record. Lineage: Eukaryota; Viridiplantae; Streptophyta; Magnoliopsida; Ranunculales; Papaveraceae. The transcript has 3 exons.